GGGGAUGAAUUAGUUUCGACUAGUCAAAUGGAAUUUUAUACGCACGUCGUGUGGUGGCACGUUAAAUACAUUUUCGUUUUGCACGAAACAAAUAAACGCAAACAACAAUAAAUUAGCUUACGCUGCCUAGUGCCGUGAGCCGUCAACUUAGCGGUGCUGAUACGUUAAACUUGACGUCGGUUAUCAGCGAACAUUUAUGUGUGUUUCCUAGCGCAUAUAAAGGACUUUUAGGAUAGUUUUAAUCAAGUGUCAAUGUUAGUUGAUUAAGGUGAAUAUAGUCAUUGACUAAGCGUGUAGUGUAUGGAAUUUGUUUUGAUUAGGACAUGAGUGCAAAUCUCAUCAUCUCCACCA
Molecule: transfer-messenger RNA, 351 nt
Filed under: chicken gut metagenome
Rfam family: transfer-messenger RNA
About the family: Bacterial tmRNA, also known as 10Sa RNA or SsrA, is named for its dual tRNA and mRNA-like properties.
Source: RNAcentral